This 275-nucleotide ribosomal RNA is filed under the name uncultured bacterium. Its description in RNAcentral is "partial 16S ribosomal RNA". It matches the Rfam family "Bacterial small subunit ribosomal RNA", at positions 338 to 612 of the family's 1533-position model. The record is from RNAcentral.
CCUACGGGCGGCUGCAGUCGAGGAUCUUCGGCAAUGAGCGCAAGCUUGACCGAGCGACGCCGCGUGCGGGAUGAAGGCCUUCGGGUUGUAAACCGCUGUCAGUGAGGAGGAAGGCCCCGUGCAGAGCGGGGUUUGACCUAUUCGCAGAGGAAGUGUGGGCUAAGCUCGUGCCAGCAGCCGCGGUAAGACGAGCCACACAAACGUUAUUCGGAAUCACUGGGCUUAAAGGGUGCGUAGGCUGUGCAGAAAGUGGGGUGUGAAAUCCCUCAGCUCAA